This 169-nucleotide microRNA precursor is filed under the name Oryza brachyantha (malo sina). RNAcentral's name for it is "MIR812 microRNA precursor family". It matches the Rfam family "MIR812 microRNA precursor family", at positions 27 to 193 of the family's 205-position model. Lineage: Eukaryota; Viridiplantae; Streptophyta; Magnoliopsida; Poales; Poaceae. The record is from Rfam by way of RNAcentral.
UUCAAUUUUUGACUCUUCAUCUUAUUUAAUUUUUUUUUGUGAUUGAUAUUUUUGUUUUUAUUAGAUGAUAAAUUAUAAAUAGUACUUUACAUGUAACUAAUUUUUUUCUAAUUUUCUGAAAAUUUUUUAAAUAAGACAGAUGGUCAAACGUUGGACACGAAAACCGAAG